This 484-nucleotide ribosomal RNA is filed under the name uncultured bacterium. RNAcentral's name for it is "partial 16S ribosomal RNA". It matches the Rfam family "Bacterial small subunit ribosomal RNA", at positions 30 to 507 of the family's 1533-position model. The record is from RNAcentral.
AUUGAACGCUGGCGGCAUGCUUUACACAUGCAAGUCGAACGGUAACAGGGUGCUUGCACCGCUGACGAGUGGCGAACGGGUGAGUAAUGCAUCGGAAUGUACCGUGUAAUGGGGGAUAGCUCGGCGAAAGCCGGAUUAAUACCGCAUACGCCCUGAGGGGGAAAGUGGGGGACCGAAAGGCCUCACGUUAUAUGAGCAGCCGGUGUCUGAUUAGCUAGUUGGUGAGGUAAAGGCUCACCAAGGCGUCGAUCAGUAGCGGGUCUGAGAGGAUGAUCCGCCACACUGGAACUGAGACACGGCCCAGACUCCUACGGGAGGCAGCAGUGGGGAAUUUUGGACAAUGGGCGCAAGCCUGAUCCAGCCAUGCCGCGUGUCUGAAGAAGGCCUUCGGGUUGUAAAGGACUUUUGUCCGGGAGCAAAUCCUAGUGGUUAAUAACCGCUGGGUCUGAGAGUACCGGAAGAAUAAGCACCGGCUAACUACGUG